AUUGAACGCUGGCGGCAUGCCUUACACAUGCCAGUCGAACGGUAACGGGCCUUCGGGUGCCGACGAGUGGCGAACGGGUGAGUAAUACAUCGGAACGUGCCCGAUCGUGGGGGAUAACGAGGCGAAAGCUUUGCUAAUACCGCAUACGAUCUACGGAUGAAAGCAGGGGACCGCAAGGCCUUGCGCGGACGGAGCGGCCGAUGGCAGAUUAGGUAGUUGGUGUGAUAAAAGCUUACCAAGCCGACGAUCUGUAGCUGGUCUGAGAGGAUGAUCAGCCACACUGGGACUGAGACACGGCCCAGACUCCUACGGGAGGCAGCAGUGGGGAAUUUUGGACAAUGGGCGCAAGCCUGAUCCAGCCAUGCCGCGUGCAGGAUGAAGGCCUUCGGGUUGUAAACUGCUUUUGUACGGAACGAAAAGCCUUCUUUUAAUACAGGAGGGUCAUGACGGUACCGUAAGAAUAAGCACCGGCUAACUACGUG
Molecule: ribosomal RNA, 482 nt
Filed under: uncultured bacterium
Lineage: Bacteria
Description: partial 16S ribosomal RNA
Rfam family: Bacterial small subunit ribosomal RNA
Source: RNAcentral